AUUUUAAUAGUUUAAAAAAAAAUAUUAAAUUGCAAAUUUAAAGAUAAUUUUUAAAAAAUUUUAAGAUU
RNAcentral lists this transfer RNA (68 nucleotides) under Vespula germanica. RNAcentral's name for it is "tRNA-Cys". Lineage: Eukaryota; Metazoa; Arthropoda; Insecta; Hymenoptera; Vespidae. The record is from RNAcentral.